UAAAUCGUAUUAUGCCAAAAUGUGUGACAUUCUACAUAUGAUGUGUGUAAAAGUGUAUUUAACAUUCCAUCUCAAGACGAUGUGAUAGCAAUGAAGUCUUUACAUCAAAAACAGAAGAGGGGAGUUCAUCCAUAAUGAAGAUCAGCAGUGGAGUGGAAUGAGUCUUCCCUGGCCCACUUCAGUCAUUUUACAUUUCACACAACAAUGCAGACACGCAGGUGGACGUGGUGACUGAGAUGACAUCCUCUCUAAAGAUUUGGGGCAUACUCUUGGCCCUGCUUUGCAUCCUUUGCAGGCUGUGUGUAUACAGUAACAACAUUUACUGGAGAGAAUUCAUAAAACUUCAUUACUUAAGUCCAAGUCGAGAAUUCAAAGAGUACAAAUGUGAUGUCCUCAUGAGAGAAAAAGAGGCUCUGAAAGGCA
Molecule: long non-coding RNA, 423 nt
Filed under: Homo sapiens (human)
Lineage: Eukaryota; Metazoa; Chordata; Mammalia; Primates; Hominidae
Description: HSALNT0375552
Source: RNAcentral